RNAcentral lists this ribosomal RNA (245 nucleotides) under uncultured bacterium. RNAcentral's name for it is "partial 16S ribosomal RNA". It matches the Rfam family "Bacterial small subunit ribosomal RNA", at positions 524 to 768 of the family's 1533-position model. The record is from RNAcentral.
UACGUAGGGGGCUAGCGUUGUCCGGAAUUACUGGGCGUAAAGAGCGUGUAGGCGGGUAUUUAAGUCAGGUGUGAAAGACCGGGGCCCAACUCCGGAGUGGCACUUGAUACUGGGUACCUUGAGGGCAGGAGAGGAAAGUGGAAUUCCUGGUGUAGCGGUGAAAUGCGUAGAUAUCAGGAGGAACACCAGUGGCGAAGGCGGCUUUCUGGACUGACCCUGACGCUGAGACGCGAAAGCGUGGGGAG